UACGAAGGGGGCUAGCGUUGCUCGGAAUCACUGGGCGUAAAGCGCACGUAGGCGGCUUUGUAAGUUAGAGGUGAAAGCCCAGAGCUCAACUCUGGAAUUGCCUUUGAGACUGAGUGGCUUGAGUACGGGAGAGGUGAGUGGAAUUCCCAGUGUAGAGGUGAAAUUCGUAGAUAUUGGGAAGAACACCGGUGGCGAAGGCGGCUCACUGGCCCGUAACUGACGCUCAUGCACGACAGCGUGGGGAUCAAACAGG
Molecule: ribosomal RNA, 253 nt
Filed under: uncultured bacterium
Lineage: Bacteria
Description: partial 16S ribosomal RNA
Rfam family: Bacterial small subunit ribosomal RNA
Source: RNAcentral